CCUACGGGGGGCUGCAGUAAGGAAUAUUGGUCAAUGGUCGGAAGACUGAACCAGCUAUGCCGCGUGCAGGAAGAAGGCUCUUAGAGUUGUAAACUGCUUUUAACAGGGGAGAAAACGCUACUGCGGUAGUUCUUGACGUUACCUGUUGAAUAAGCAUCGGCUAACUACGUGCCAGCAGCCGCGGUAAUACGUAGGAUGCGAGCGUUGUUCGGAUUUAUUGGGUUUAAAGGGUGCGUAGGCGGCUUAGUAAGUCGCGGGUGAAAGUCUUACGCUCA
Molecule: ribosomal RNA, 275 nt
Filed under: uncultured bacterium
Lineage: Bacteria
Description: partial 16S ribosomal RNA
Rfam family: Bacterial small subunit ribosomal RNA
Source: RNAcentral